RNAcentral lists this ribosomal RNA (552 nucleotides) under Escherichia coli. Its description in RNAcentral is "partial 23S ribosomal RNA". It matches the Rfam family "Bacterial large subunit ribosomal RNA", at positions 2238 to 2789 of the family's 2925-position model. The record is from RNAcentral. RNAcentral also lists the same sequence under 1 other name. Lineage: Bacteria; Pseudomonadati; Pseudomonadota; Gammaproteobacteria; Enterobacterales; Enterobacteriaceae.
AUCCGGGUUGCGGACAGUGUCUGGUGGGUAGUUUGACUGGGGCGGUCUCCUCCUAAAGAGUAACGGAGGAGCACGAAGGUUGGCUAAUCCUGGUCGGACAUCAGGAGGUUAGUGCAAUGGCAUAAGCCAGCUUGACUGCGAGCGUGACGGCGCGAGCAGGUGCGAAAGCAGGUCAUAGUGAUCCGGUGGUUCUGAAUGGAAGGGCCAUCGCUCAACGGAUAAAAGGUACUCCGGGGAUAACAGGCUGAUACCGCCCAAGAGUUCAUAUCGACGGCGGUGUUUGGCACCUCGAUGUCGGCUCAUCACAUCCUGGGGCUGAAGUAGGUCCCAAGGGUAUGGCUGUUCGCCAUUUAAAGUGGUACGCGAGCUGGGUUUAGAACGUCGUGAGACAGUUCGGUCCCUAUCUGCCGUGGGCGCUGGAGAACUGAGGGGGGCUGCUCCUAGUACGAGAGGACCGGAGUGGACGCAUCACUGGUGUUCGGGUUGUCAUGCCAAUGGCACUGCCCGGUAGCUAAAUGCGGAAGAGAUAAGUGCUGAAAGCAUCUAAGCACG